UACGGAGGGAGCUAGCGUUGUUCGGAAUUACUGGGCGUAAAGCGCACGUAGGCGGCUACUCAAGUCAGAGGUGAAAGCCCAGGGCUCAACCUUGGAACUGCCUUUGAAACUAGGUAGCUAGAAUUCUGGAGAGGUCGAGUGGAAUUCCGAGUGUAGAGGUGAAAUUCGUAGAUAUUCGGAAAGAACACCAGUGGCGAAGGCGACUGACUGGACAGAUAUUGACGCUGAGGAGCGAAAGCAUGGGGAGCGAACGAGGA
Molecule: ribosomal RNA, 257 nt
Filed under: uncultured bacterium
Lineage: Bacteria
Description: partial 16S ribosomal RNA
Rfam family: Bacterial small subunit ribosomal RNA
Source: RNAcentral